Molecule: ribosomal RNA, 492 nt
Filed under: uncultured bacterium
Lineage: Bacteria
Description: partial 16S ribosomal RNA
Rfam family: Bacterial small subunit ribosomal RNA
Source: RNAcentral
AGUGAACGCUGGCGGUAGGCCUAACACAUGCAAGUCGAACGGCAGCACAGUAAGAGCUUGCUCUUACGGGUGGCGAGUGGCGGACGGGUGAGGAAUACAUCGGAAUCUACUUUUUCGUGGGGGAUCACGUAGGGAAACUUACGCUAAUACCGCAUACGACCUACGGGUGAAAGCAGGGGAUCUUCGGACCUUGCGCGAUUGAAUGAGCCGAUGUCGGAUUAGCUAGUUGGCGGGGUAAAGGCCCACCAAGGCGACGAUCCGUAGCUGGUCUGAGAGGAUGAUCGGCCACACUGGAGCUGAGACACGGUCCAGAGUCCUACGGGAGGCAGCAGUGGGGAAUAUUGGACAAUGGGCGCAAGCCUGAUCCAGCCAUACCGCGUGGGUGAAGAAGGCCUUCGGGUUGUAAAGCCCUUUUGUUGGGAAAGAAAAGCAGCAGGUUAAUACCCCGCUGUUCUGACGGUACCCAAAGAAUAAGCACCGGCUAACUUCGUG